AAUCGGAGAGUUCCCUUCGGGGACAUUGGUGACAGGUGGUGCAUGGUUGUCGUCAGCUCGUGUCGUGAGAUGUUGGGUUAAGUCCCGCAACGAGCGCAACCCUUGUCUUUAGUUGCCAUCAUUAAGUUGGGCACUCUAGAGAGACUGCCAGGGAUAACCUGGAGGAAGGUGGGGAUGACGUCAAAUCAUCAUGCCCCUUAUGCUUAGGGCUACACACGUGCUACAAUG
RNAcentral lists this ribosomal RNA (228 nucleotides) under Clostridioides difficile. RNAcentral describes it as "partial 16S ribosomal RNA". It matches the Rfam family "Bacterial small subunit ribosomal RNA", at positions 1004 to 1232 of the family's 1533-position model. The record is from RNAcentral. Lineage: Bacteria; Bacillati; Bacillota; Clostridia; Peptostreptococcales; Peptostreptococcaceae.